CAAUAGCGUAUAUUUAAGUUGCUGCAGUUAAAAAGCUCGUAGUUGGAUUUCGGGUGGGAAUGGCCGGUCCGCCGUUUCGGUGUGCACUUGCUACGCCCACCUUGCUGCCGGGGACGUGCUCUUGAGUUCACGCUCGGGACACGGAGUCGGCGAGGUUACUUUGAGUAAAUUAGAGUGUUCAAAGCAGGCCUACGCUCUGAAUACAUUAGCAUGGAAUAACACGAUAGGACUCUGGCCUAUCUUGUUGGUCUGUAGGACCGGAGUAAUGAUUAAGAGGGACAGUCGGGGGCAUUCGUAUUUCAUUGUCAGAGGUGAAAUUCUUGGAUUUAUGAAAGACGAACUACUGCGAAAGCAUUUGCCAAGGAUGAUUUCAUUAA
RNAcentral lists this ribosomal RNA (377 nucleotides) under uncultured eukaryote. RNAcentral's name for it is "partial 18S ribosomal RNA". It matches the Rfam family "Eukaryotic small subunit ribosomal RNA", at positions 592 to 976 of the family's 1831-position model. The record is from RNAcentral.